UCCCUGGUGCCCGGGUCCUCGUCGGUCAGGGCCGCGUCGCCGAAGAAGUCGCCGUCGGCCAGCACCCCGUGGUCGGUCUCGGUGUCGUAGGCGCCGGCGCCGCGCCUGGCCAGCUUGCCGUGGGCGAUGAGGACGACGGAGUCCGCGGUCGCGCCCUGCUCGACGACGACGUCACCGGGCGCGAAGUCCCGCUGCACGCACGCCGCGGCCAGUUCCCGCAGCACGUCCUCGUCCUGGAAUCCGGCGAGCGCGGGCAAUUCGCCGAGUUCCGCCGGGAUGACGCGCACCUGCGCGCCCGUCGAGUCGAAUUCCACCCGCCCGUUGCCGACGGUGUGGGUCAGCCGGCGGUUCACGCGGAACGUUCCGCCGGAGACCUGCACCCACGGCAGCACCCGCAGCAGCCACCGUGAGGUGAUCCCCUGCAUUUGCGGCGGCGUCUUCGUGGUCGUCGCGAGAUUGCGCGCCGCCGCCGUGUCCAGGCUGAGCCUGGGGUGCGCCGA
This is an antisense RNA of 500 nucleotides. It matches the Rfam family "Saccharopolyspora sRNA 350".